RNAcentral lists this ribosomal RNA (301 nucleotides) under uncultured bacterium. RNAcentral describes it as "partial 16S ribosomal RNA". It matches the Rfam family "Bacterial small subunit ribosomal RNA", at positions 509 to 807 of the family's 1533-position model. The record is from RNAcentral.
CAGUCGCCGCGGUAAUACGUAGGUGGCAAGCGUUGUCCGGAAUUAUUGGGCGUAAGGCGCGCGCAGGUGGUUUAAUAAGUCUGAUGUGAAAGCCCACGGCUCAACCGUGGGGGGUCAUUGGAAACUGUUAAACUUGAGUGCAGGAGAGAAAAGUGGAAUUCCUAGUGUAGCGGUGAAAUGCGUAGAGAUUAGGAGGAACACCAGUGGCGAAGGCGGCUUUUUGGCCUGUAACUGACACUGAGGCGCGAAAGCGUGGGGAGCAAACAGGAUUAGAGACCCCGGUAGUCCCUGUCUCUUAUAC